Molecule: long non-coding RNA, 1725 nt
Organism: Macaca fascicularis (crab-eating macaque)
Lineage: Eukaryota; Metazoa; Chordata; Mammalia; Primates; Cercopithecidae
Source: Ensembl
GGUGUUGUAAGGAAAUGAGACCAGAAGGACAAGCUAAAUUAUGCAUUCUUACUUGAGGGACUGGAAUGGAUGGGGCGGAGUUCCCUUCAGGUUAGCCUUCUGGGGAAAGUGGAUUUCUUUUUAAGAGAUUCAUCAUACCUUGACCUGUGCCUCUUUUCUGCCCUCCACUUCCCUGCCCUGGAGCCCAUUUCUGGAGACUAGAAAUGUAUCUAAAUUGGGGGAACAGAAUGAAUGAAUGAGAGUUCCUUUGCUUUAACCAUUCCUGGAUGUCUGCAAAGUAAGGAAUAGUGCACUUUUUAUGUAUCUGAUUUUAUAAGGGGUUACUCUUUCAAGAGCAACAAAAAAAUGCAAAUUGUAAUGAAACUGGUAGUAUUUCUGAGUGUGAAAACGACAGGCUGCCCCAUUUUUUACUAAUUGCAUUUGCAUUUUAAGGUACUACUGAAGGUCAGAUCAAAGUUGAAAUGCAAAAAUACUAAUUAGGUAAUAAUGUGAAUAAAUGGGAAUCCUCUUGGUAUUUUAUGUGUAUUGUAAGUAGCAGUUAAAUUAUUUUUGUAAAAGCAAUUUCAGUUUUAAUCACUGAACAAAAGAAACAGGCAACAUUCACUUCUGUAGUAUGGUUUCCAGCUAUCUCUAACACCACUAUUAAGGUACACCAGUGUUAAGGUACAUUAAUAACUACACAAAAUUUUAUUUAAAGAGGGCACUUAGCAGCCUAUGAUAGUUUUAAAUAAAAUGUUGCCUCUCCUUCGGAUUCUCACUAACUUGUGUUACUAUUCUAAAAGUUUGCAUUUGCUGGGGUGUUUAUUCUGAGGAUCAUAUAACCAUUGUUCUACUUGGCAUAACCCUGUUUAAUGGUGCUGAGAGCUGAAUUACCUACAGAAACUGUUUCUGGUUUAAAUAAUUAGCACAAAUUGGCUCAUGAGCCCAUGUUUCUGUGAAGUAAUUAUUAAACCAACGUAAUGAUCCUCACGUAAGGUACACUUUUUAUUUUACUACAUUGGUAGUCUCUAUGACUUGUAGCAAUGUUUUAUAAAUGUUUAAAAUGCUAAACUUAAUUUUCCAACCUUUUCUUGACAAUUAGAUACCUAUCCUGUAGUUACUGAAAAUCUGGGUAGUAAAUCUACCCAGUUAAAAUGGCACUUUAUAAAAGGGAAUAGAGAAGAGAUGGGACUAUUUCUAUAUUUAAAUGCUGCUGGCUAUUAAAUUCCUUUGUAUAUAAAUGAAAAAUACCAUUCAUUAAAAUUAAGGACUUAAGUGUGGUUCUUAAUUACAUUUCAUUCGUUUAUGUUAGAGUAAAUGGCUUCAUAAUUACUUUAAAAUUUAACCCACAAGCAUAUGAAAUCUGUUUGUCAUAAAAUUGGAAACAAUUUUUGAGAGGGACUAAUUUAAACAAGUCCUUCUCCUUUAGUCUUUUGGGUCACGUAAUUGCUGAAACCUAAGUACCUACAGACUACAGGAUAAGGAAGUUCACAGCCUGCAGGGUGAAUGAACCCAUGUGUGAACUGCACAAAGCAAUUCAUAGAAAAUGCACAGAAAUUUGUAACACUUUUGUCACGUCUGUCUCUAGAUGCUCAUUGAAUUUGUUUAAAGAUGGAUGAAAGGCCGGGCAUAGUGGCUCACGCCUGUGAUCCCAGCAUUUUGGAAGGCCGAGGUAGGUGGAUCACUUGAGGCCAGGAGUUUGAAACCAGCCUGGCCAACAUGGUAAAAACGUGUCUCUUCUAAAAA